RNAcentral lists this ribosomal RNA (253 nucleotides) under uncultured bacterium. Its description in RNAcentral is "partial 16S ribosomal RNA". It matches the Rfam family "Bacterial small subunit ribosomal RNA", at positions 524 to 776 of the family's 1533-position model. The record is from RNAcentral.
UACGUAGGGUGCUAGCGUUGCUCGGAAUCACUGGGCGUAAAGGGUGCGUAGGCGGGUCUUUAAGUCAGGGGUGAAAUCCUGGAGCUCAACUCCAGAACUGCCUUUGAUACUGAAGAUCUUGAGUUCGGGAGAGGUGAGUGGAACUGCGAGUGUAGAGGUGAAAUUCGUAGAUAUUCGCAAGAACACCAGUGGCGAAGGCGGCUCACUGGCCCGAUACUGACGCUGAUGCACGAAAGCGUGGGGAGCAAACAGG